AAAAGGAUCUUUUUUUUUUUUUUUUUUUAAACAUUUUACCAAUAUUGUUUUUAUAGGAAAAGCUCCAUGGUGUUUAAGCACUGCUUAUACUUUAACUUCAAAUGUUCACAGUGUUCCUACCUGCAUUUCAUGAGGUGACAGCUGCAGCUCUCUUACCGUGGCAGUGUGUAGUGCAGCAGCAGUGACGUGCCUCUCUUUCCUGUCACCUUGGAGCUUUCCCGCGCCCGCUCUCUAACACAUAAUUUUCACGGGCUAUAGCGCCGCUCAGUGGAUAUAUCUAAUCCAUCUUUGCUGCUUUAUAUAGUGAAUGGAGACCUUGGAGGACAAACAGAAACGUCCUGUCCUUCGCCCACUUCUUUUCUUGUUUGAAUGUCUACAUUUAUAAAUCUCAGGAAGUUAUAUUAUGUCAAACUACUAUAAUGGACUUUUUAACUGUCAUUACGCGUGGUGUUUACGACAUAAAUUGACCAUGCGGUGUUUAUUGACGUUGCAUGUACUCACCAACACGACUGGAUGCAAGAAAAGCUGUUGAAAAAUGAGUUGUAGAUAUCAGAGAGGAGUCUUAAACAGAAGAAAUUCUAGUUAAAAAGAGGAAGAUGGAGAAUUAUCGAUCCCUUAUCCCGAAGGUGUCCGCCGUAUGCAGAUGUCCCCAAGGUGCACCAGAGAAGGGUCCUGUGAGCAUCGGGGUGGUGGCCGAGUCCUGCACUCGCAUAGCUGGAGCAGAGCUCCAUCUUCAGGAGCCAGACUGGAGCGGAUACAAGAGCCCUCCAGCACAUGAACACAUGUGAACAUCCUUUAUGAGAUUACAGUGGAACCUCAGAUGCUGCCCAGCACACAGAGAUCAUAUCAUAUAUAUGGCAGACGUCCACCUUUGUCAUCUCACUGAGGCAAGUUUGUUCUCCUCUGUCAUUAUCAUCAGUGUGUUCUUGACUGAGUUAUAAAGUCAGA
Ctenopharyngodon idella (grass carp) is the source of this 948-nucleotide long non-coding RNA. RefSeq lists it as uncharacterized. Lineage: Eukaryota; Metazoa; Chordata; Actinopteri; Cypriniformes; Xenocyprididae. The transcript is spliced from 3 exons. The record is from RefSeq and is a predicted model, not a curated record.